GUUCCCGGGCCUUGUACACACCGCCCGUCACACCAUGGGAGUUUGUUGCACCAGAAGCAGGUAGCUUAACCGCGAGGAGGGCGCUUGCCACGGUGUGGCCGAUGACUGGGGUGAAGUCGUAACAAGGUAGCCGUAUCGGAAGGUGUGGCUGGAUCACCUCCUUU
Molecule: ribosomal RNA, 164 nt
Filed under: Xylella fastidiosa
Lineage: Bacteria; Pseudomonadati; Pseudomonadota; Gammaproteobacteria; Lysobacterales; Lysobacteraceae
Description: partial 16S ribosomal RNA
Rfam family: Bacterial small subunit ribosomal RNA
Source: RNAcentral